RNAcentral lists this long non-coding RNA (527 nucleotides) under Populus tremula. RNAcentral describes it as "long non-coding RNA (PTRE_LNC002798)". Lineage: Eukaryota; Viridiplantae; Streptophyta; Magnoliopsida; Malpighiales; Salicaceae. The record is from RNAcentral.
GGAACCACACAUUGUAUAAAGAAAGUAUAUCCAAAAGUUUUAUUUCAUUCUGAAAAAAAGGACCAAAAAUUCAGUAGAUCAUAAACAUAAUGAGAGUCGUGUGACACAUAUAAAUCAUCUCCACACUCUAACUACAGAAAUUGUAAUGCAAUCAAGGUCAGAUAGUUCCUUCCUGUAACAUUAAUAUAUUAGUUCAACAGAAAUAAUUGCAUUGAAGUCCUUCCUCCAGAAUUCCAUUUUAUCUGCAAAAAAAAGUCCUUUCUGUUUACACAACAGAAAUACCAGACAGCUUAUUAUUCUAAAUAAAAAUAAAAACAAAGGAAAACAGUUAGAAAGUGGAAGAAACCCUAGAAAUGAAAGAUUUAAACAAGCGAGAAGAUGAGAGGGAAGGGAAAGCACCUUUCACUUUCUGUCUAUCUCUUCGCUUCUGUUUGGCUUUGGUUGUGCGCCGUUAACUAACUGUGUAUUGUUACUAUCAAAAGAUGGUACUGUUAUAUGGAUCUUUAUAUAUAGUGGGAGAGAGAAAG